GAGCCCCCCCCCCCAUUUAUCUGUCCAGGCUCCAACCAUAAAAUGAACUUUCAAGAGGCCCCGGGAUACCGGGUCCCCGGGACUCAUCCCCGAGCACUCCCCCACCCUGACCCCAAGUCUCCCACAUGACCCCUGUGCUGCGCACUAUCACCACUCCAGCCAGGAUCGGCAAGUGGGCACCCCUGCUCUGCCAGUACUACCCCCGGUCCUGGAGAAUGAGCUCCCCCCAACUUCCGCACAGCAGCUCUCCUCCUGAUCACUCCCCUUUCUUCCCCUGUAAACAACAUACUUAGUAUAGACAUAAUUUUCCCCCAAGAGUAUAAGUUAGGCCCUAGGAACUGGUCUAAUAGUUCAGCUAGCCUGAUGGGGUCCUCAGUUAAAGACUUCAUCUCCUUCUUAAAACUCCUAACCUCUCUGCUGGUAAGGAGAGGGGGGAGUUCACCUAAGAGGAUACACAGUUAGUGUUAGGACUGUUAAUAUCAGGGAAGGCGAAAUUCUCAAUCUCUCUUCUACCUAUUUCUAAUUCUUACCAGAGCCUAGAGUACGCUCCUUCUCUAGGGACAGUGUUAACUGCAGUCCCUGUCUCCCUUCCUGGAGCAACUGCUGCUGCCUCCGGUGCAAUAUUAGGAUUAUAGGGAGCAUAACUUGACUCCUUCUCCGAAAAAGGAAUCUUAUUGUUUACACAUAAAUUUCAAGCCUGAAUUUUCAUCAGGCCCGUAUUUUGGCCAAAAUACUGCUGUUUCCCUAAUUGGUUCUUUUGUCCAGACUGAUACACAAUAUUUAACCAUUUUCUUCUUUUAUCAUUUCCUCUGAUUUUGGGAUUAUUUUUCCCAUUUCUUUUCAUUCUUCAGGAAGAACUGUCGGUAGGCACUCCCCCAGGGAUAUCUCCCUGUCCCCUGGAACUCAUAUUUCUCAUUUUUCCUAUUCUGGAAAAUGGGGAUGUACUGCCAAGCACUUUACCGUGCAAGGGGUACCGCACACCUAUGAGUUUUCCAGAUUCCCUGGUGUACUGCCAAGCACUUCACCGUGCAAGGGCUACUGUAUACCAAAUUUCCCGAGACUCUUCCUUUCUCUCUCUUAUCUCACGCUUCAUCCGUCUCCGGCCGCGCCCCUCUGAAACAUGGGAUUAGAAAUUAGAGAGCGAUUGAUUAAGAAUGAAUAUGUAGGCAACAGUCAUUGCUUAAUAUGUGGCACAUUUGCGAUAUACUGUUCCUGUGCUGCUCUUAGGCCUCCAGAUAACAGGAGCCCCUGGGACCCCAAGAACCAGAUCAAACCAACCUUAUGGUUCGGACUUUGACCAAGGGCUCAGAGAUAAGGAGGACUGUUCACAAAAGGACAAGAUAAAGAAUGUCAAACAUGCAAGGCCUCG
RNAcentral lists this long non-coding RNA (1369 nucleotides) under Anser cygnoides (Swan goose). RNAcentral describes it as "lncRNA (ENSACDG00005014591.1)". The record is from RNAcentral. Lineage: Eukaryota; Metazoa; Chordata; Aves; Anseriformes; Anatidae.